CUGAGGGGUAAACCUUGGUCAGGCCAUUGUCACACGUUGAUCUGCAUAGGGCCACUUAAUUUCUCUCCUUGGCAUCCCCCCAAAGCAGACCCUGAGGCAAAGCCUUGGGUGACAGUCUUUCUUUGGGAGAUGAUGGCAGGAAGCACAUGGGAGUGAAUAGAGAAGUGCGACAGGGCAGGGAGACAUGUGGAGACAGGAUGCAUUGAUGAGACUGGAGCUCGAUUCCCCUGUGACCCUCCAGCAGACAGCGGGGAACAUGCCCCAGAUCUGUCCACUGAGGGGCAGGAAUGCUGGAGUGUUCAUCCUCACAUCCUAUCCCUCACUGGCUGAGGGGCCCUGGGGGAAUUCUCAGCUCAGCAAGCUGUCUCAUAAGACGCAGAGGAGGCUCUGGAGGGAGGAGAUCCAUGCUGGGGGACGGCAGGCAAACUCAGAGCCUCUCCCCUAAAAGAUGCUACAAAACUGGCCUUGAGCAUGGAGGAAGGGGCCAUGGACGUUCUCGAGAAGCUGGAAGAGGCAAGGAAUGGAUUCUCCCCUAGAGCCUCCAGAAGGAACCAGCUCUGCAGACACCUUGAUUUAAGCCUUGUAAGACCCAUUUUGGACUUCUGCCUCCAAAAGUGUUAGAGAAUAAAUUUGUGUUGAACCA
Molecule: long non-coding RNA, 643 nt
Organism: Neofelis nebulosa (Clouded leopard)
Lineage: Eukaryota; Metazoa; Chordata; Mammalia; Carnivora; Felidae
Exons: 2
Source: RefSeq, a predicted model, not a curated record